This 1514-nucleotide long non-coding RNA is filed under the name Phoenix dactylifera (date palm). Its description in RNAcentral is "long non-coding RNA (PDAC_LNC005727)". The record is from RNAcentral. Lineage: Eukaryota; Viridiplantae; Streptophyta; Magnoliopsida; Arecales; Arecaceae.
UUUCUCUCUUGUAAUUGUUUGGAUUUAUUUUUUUAGUUUCGCAGACAACUUGGUGUAUGGAGCUCUAUAUUGUUGUUAGUUGCCUCUUUAACUUUUAUAAGGAAAAUUGGCAGUUGGUUAGGAAUGUAGCAUUGGUCUUCGUUCUCCUUUCUUAGUUUUCUUUUUUUCUCCUCCUUCCUCACUACUCUUGUUAGUAGUUAUUUGGUGGGUAGCGAAAGUGUAGCAUAAGGAGUGGUUUGGGUCUGUUCAUGUAGCUGCGUUGGUUGCUUGGGCUGUUAUACAAAUAAUUGGUUGGACAGUAGGUGUUUACCAACUAAGGGCCUAUUUGGUUCCAUGUAGUUGAACCUAUUGCAAUUUAGACUUGGCAUUGGUCAAACCAGGAUGGUUUCAGAGGAGGCCAAAACUCGAUAUUAAGGGCCUAGACGACUUUACCUCUGGCUGUCUUCAGCCUGAGCAUGGCUCGCCCAUUGAAACCUAAAACCUGAAUGAACCUGGUUCGACCGGGCGGACAUAGUAGUUGAACCUAUUGCAAUUUAGACUUGGGAUUGGUCAAACCUGGAUGGUUUCAGAGGAGGCCAAAACUCGAUAUUAAAGGCCUAGAUGACUUUACCUCUGGCUGUCUUCAGCCUGNNNNNNNNNNNNNNNNNNNNCCUGAAUGAACCUGGUUCGACCGAGUCGGGCAUAGUGGUUGAACCUAUUGCAAUUUAGACUCGGCAUUGGUCAAACCUGGAUGGUUUCAGAGGAGGCCAAAACUCGAUAUUAAGGGCCUAGACGACUUUACCUCUGGCUGCCUUCAGCAUUGAAACCUAAAACCUGGAUAAACUUGGUUUGACCAAGCGGACAUAGUAGUCAGGCAUCUGAAUAUCCCCCUUAUGAAAAAGUGAUAUGCUGCACCAAGCAGGCAUUGGACUCUGAUAUUGGUUGACAUCUUAUCAUCGAAAAAAAAGAAAAAGAAAAAAGAUAUUGGUUGACAUCUGAAAAUUGGAUAUGUUAUUGAGUAGCUAUUUCUUUUCUUAGGGUCUCCAGUAGGAGUCCUUUUCUUGUUUGUCGGAAAUGAUCUUGUUUGUCCUGUUCUUUUGUGGAGGUAAGGUUUUAUGUCCCUCUCUUAUGGGCUGUUUGGAUUCUGGUCUUUGUACCAUGAAUAAUUGGUUCAAAGAUGGGUUACAAUGGUUGAAAACAGGCACAGAAGAGAUAUUCCAAAAUUAUCAGGAUUCUAGAUAUUGAGGGGCUCACCAAACUUUCCAGCUUCUCUUUUCCUAACAGAAACUCUAAUCAGAUGAUGAGUUUCACGUGACCAAGUAGCUCAUGCACCCUUACUCGUCCUCACUGUAUCUUUCUUUAUAUCUGAAUAUUUAGUACUCACAUGACAAGAAAUGUCAGCUUUGGUUUUCUUCCAUUGAAUCUUGAACGUUGAUGCAUGCCAUGAUGAUAUUGAGUAUGCACAAGGUAUUUAAUCGCUCUCGUAGUGUAACAUUGCUUUCUUAGUUCUAGAUUUUGUUAUACAAUCUAUUCUU